Danio aesculapii is the source of this 733-nucleotide long non-coding RNA. RefSeq lists it as uncharacterized. Lineage: Eukaryota; Metazoa; Chordata; Actinopteri; Cypriniformes; Danionidae. The record is from RefSeq and is a predicted model, not a curated record. The transcript is spliced from 6 exons.
UGUUCAUCUCUACACUACUUUUGGAGGAAAUGAUACACGUAUUUGAGAUAUUCCGCAGUAUUUCUCGUCUUUAGGACCCAGCAGAGACAUCAAACCGGAGUCGCGUCCAGUCUUGUUGAAGGAAGUUGCUAGUUUUCCCAAGAAGUACGGAAUCUGAGCAUUAUAUUAUUAUUGGUUAUUAUUCGCCGCUAGAGGGCGCUGAAUGGAUCGCAACGUGAGAAAGUUAUCCUGGACGAGCAGAGCAGAAGCUUGCUACAUCGUCUUUUAUCAGAAGAGGAUUCAUGAUCCAUUUCAAGGUUGCUCUGGACAGAGCGAGCUUUAAUCCUCGAUAAUCUUGUUGAGAAAGGUACUCCUGGAGAUGACCACUUCCAGCCUUCCAGUUAUCUUUUCUCCAUUGCUAAACUGGAUUGUUCAGGACAGGUAUUUUAUACCCACACACCAAAGAAACUUUUUGAAGUUUGGGGAGAUGCAUCACUGCGGACCCUCUCGUAUUGCAAAAAAAGAAGAGCCUUGGAUCUACCAGUUCAAGCAAACAUUUAAUCUGACAGCCUUGGAGAUCCCACUUUGGAGAUGUCGCUUUAACAACUCAGCCAGCUAUCAUUUCUUCACUGCCAUACAGAUUGUGCAGCAAGAUGGUUCGGCCCUCAUACCAGGAGGCAAAACAAGAAUUUGUUGAUUUGCGACUUCUAGGUGCAUUAUUUAUGACAAUAAAUGUUGGACAUUAUUUAAUUCA